GUAAGAUUCCAUUGAUUGUAAGCUGCACUGUUGGUUCAAUUACCUUUUGGUGCUAAAAGUUAGCAUCAUGCUCAAUGGAUAUAUAGAGUAAAAAAAAAAAAAAAAUCCUGUGUCAGAAAUGUUAAAAUACAACUGUGUGGGGGGCUAGCCCUGUGGCCUACUAGUUAAGUUCUCAUGCUCUGCUUUGGCAGCCCACAGUUUUGCCAGUUCGGAUCCUGGGCACAGACUUAGUGCCACUCAUCAAGUCAUGCUGAGGUGGCAUCCCACACAGCAGACCAGAGGGACCUACAAUUACUAUAUACAACUAUAUACUGGGGGGCUUCGAGGAGAAGAAGAAAAAAAAAAGAUUGGCAACAGAUGUUAGCUCAGGUGCCAAUCUUUAAAAAAAAAAAAAGACUGUGGGCAUAAUGAGGUGUCUUAAGAUUAAAGAAGUAAGCUGCAUAUACACAGCAGCUUUCUAAAUAGCAGGUUCUUAAUCUUUCCUUUUAUGUGGCAAGGUUAACUGAUGACUAAAAUUCGUCAAAGUUAUUUUCGCUAGCGAUAGGAAAGAACAAACUCUGAGUUUCUGUUAUUGGCAUGACAUCAUACUGGGCAUUUGGGUUACAAAGACGUAUGAAUAUGAUCAAUUUUUUUAUAUAGACAGAAGAAAAUUUACUAAGGAGGAAACAGCACAAUUGGUGCUAACAAUUUGGAAGCAUUCACAGAAUAGAUUGUAGUUUGUAGGGACUGGCCCAGUAAUGUAGCAGUUAAGUUCGAGCGCUCAGCUUUGGCAUCCUGGGGUUCACAGGUUCGGAUCUGGGUGCGAACCUACACACAGCUCAUCAAGUCAUGCUCUGGCAGCAUCCCUCAUACAAAAUAGAGGAAGAUUGGCACAGAUGUUAGCUCAGAUGCUAAUCUUUCUCACCAAAAAGGAAGGAAGGAAGGCAGAAAGGAAGGAAGGAAGGAAGAAAGGGGAGCGUUAUAAAGAUCAUAAACAUUCUUUAAAAAAAGAAAAGCAUAGAUUGAACUGUAGACAAGGAGCAGGAUUUAAAUCUGUGUAGAACAGAG
Molecule: long non-coding RNA, 1047 nt
Filed under: Equus caballus (horse)
Lineage: Eukaryota; Metazoa; Chordata; Mammalia; Perissodactyla; Equidae
Description: lncRNA (ENSECAG00000049615.1)
Source: RNAcentral